This 469-nucleotide ribosomal RNA is filed under the name uncultured bacterium. RNAcentral describes it as "partial 16S ribosomal RNA". It matches the Rfam family "Bacterial small subunit ribosomal RNA", at positions 28 to 507 of the family's 1533-position model. The record is from RNAcentral.
GAUGAGCGCUGGCGGCGUGCUUAACACAUGCAAGUCGAACGAUGAAGCUGGAGCUUGCUCUGGUGGAUUAGUGGCGAACGGGUGAGUAACACGUGAGCAACCUGCCCCUGACUCUGGGAUAACAGCCGGAAACGGCUGCUAAUACCGGAUAUGCACCAUGAACGCAUGUUCUGUGGUGGGAAAGAUUUUUCGGUUGGGGAUGGGCUCGCGGCCUAUCAGCUUGUUGGUGAGGUAAUGGCUCACCAAGGCGUCGACGGGUAGCCGGCCUGAGAGGGUGACCGGCCACACUGGGACUGAGACACGGCCCAGACUCCUACGGGAGGCAGCAGUGGGGAAUAUUGCACAAUGGGCGAAAGCCUGAUGCAGCAACGCCGCGUGAGGGAUGACGGCCUUCGGGUUGUAAACCUCUUUUAGCAGGGAAGAAGCGAGAGUGACGGUACCUGCAGAAAAAGCGCCGGCUAACUACGUG